RNAcentral lists this ribosomal RNA (465 nucleotides) under uncultured bacterium. RNAcentral's name for it is "partial 16S ribosomal RNA". It matches the Rfam family "Bacterial small subunit ribosomal RNA", at positions 338 to 795 of the family's 1533-position model. The record is from RNAcentral.
CCUACGGGUGGCAGCAGUGGGGAAUAUUGCGCAAUGGGCGAAAGCCUGACGCAGCGACGCCGCGUGAGGGAUGAAGGUCUUCGGAUCGUAAACCUCUGUCAGCAGGGAAGAACGGUCACUGUGCUAAUCAGCAGUGCAUUGACGGUACCUGCAAAGGAAGCACCGGCUAACUCCGUGCAGGCAGCCGCGGUAAUACGGAGGGUGCGAGCGUUAAUCGGCAUUACUGGGCGUAAAGCGCUCGUAGGCGGUAUGUCAAGUCAAGGGUGAAAUCCCCGCGCUCAACGUGGGAACUGCCUUUGAAACUGGCAAACUGGAGUGUGUGAGAGGAUAGUGGAAUUCCAGGUGUAGGAGUGAAAUCCGUAGAUAUAUGGAGGAACAUCAGUGGCGAAGGCGACUAUCUGGCACAUAACUGACGCUGAGGAGCGAAAGCGUGGGUAGCAAACAGGAUUAGAUACCCUUGUAGUC